RNAcentral lists this unclassified non-coding RNA (366 nucleotides) under uncultured fungus. RNAcentral's name for it is "partial contains small subunit ribosomal RNA, internal transcribed spacer 1, and 5.8S ribosomal RNA". The stretch from base 1 to 73 matches the Rfam family "Eukaryotic small subunit ribosomal RNA", at positions 1759 to 1831 of the family's 1831-position model. The record is from RNAcentral. Lineage: Eukaryota; Fungi.
GCAAACUUGGUCAUUUAGAGGAAGUAAAAGUCGUAACAAGGUAACCGUAGGUGAACCUGCGGUUGGAUCAUUACAAAAAUGACCUGAUGGCGUGGGGGGUUUCGAUCCCCGACGCUGUCACAUUCCACACCCUUGUGAACCAUAGAAAUGUAUUUUGGCAGCAAGCAGAGGAGCGGGUUUUGGGGUUCCUUGGUUUUUGAUUAUUUGAGAGCCAAGGGUUCAAGACUUUUUGUUUCUUUGGGUGCUGCCAGACUGUGACAUUCACCAUGUUUUUCCACUGUCUCGCGUCUUAAAAACAAAAAUAGUCAAUGAGAAACAACUUUAGACAACGGAUCUCUUGGCUCUCGCAUCGAUGAAGAACGCAGC